ACAGUCACUGAGCACACAGGUCCUCACCAUGGGAUGGAGCUGGAUCAUCCUCUUCCUCCUGUCAGUAACUACAGGUGUCCACUCCCAGGUCCAGCUGCAGCAGUCUGGUCCUGAGCUGAAGAAACCUGGUUCCUCAGUGAAGUUGUCCUGCAAGGCUUCAGGCUACACCUUCACUAACUACUUUAUGCACUGGGUGAAGCAGAGGUCUGGUCAAGGCCUGGAGUGGAUCGGAUGGAUUGAUCCUAGUGAUAGUGAAACUAAAUAUGUUCAGAAGUUCCAGAACAAGGCCAAACUGACUGUUGAUAAAUCCUCCAGCACAGCCUACAUGGAGCUCAGCAGCCUGACCUCUGAGGACUCUGCGGUCUAUUACUGUGCGAGACACAGUGUUGCAGCCCACAUCCUGAGUGUGUCAGAAACCCUGAGGGAGCAGGAAGCUGCCCUGGGACUGAGAUAA
Peromyscus maniculatus bairdii (prairie deer mouse) is the source of this 454-nucleotide non-coding RNA. The record is from the annotation of a RefSeq genome assembly. NCBI's taxonomy places the organism in Eukaryota, Metazoa, Chordata, Mammalia, Rodentia, Cricetidae.